GACGAACGCUGGCGGCGUGCUUAACACAUGCAAGUCGAACGGAAAGGCCCUGCUUGCCGGGUACUCGAGUGGCGAACGGGUGAGUAACACGUGGGUGAUCUGCCCUGCACUUCGGGAUAAGCCUGGGAAACUGGGUCUAAUACCGGAUAGGAGCCAUUUUUAGUGUGAUGGUUGGAAAGUUUUUUCGGUGUAGGAUGAGCUCGCGGCCUAUCAGCUUGUUGGUGGGGUAAUGGCCUACCAAGGCGGCGACGGGUAGCCGGCCUGAGAGGGUGGACGGCCACAUUGGGACUGAGAUACGGCCCAGACUCCUACGGGAGGUAGCAGGGGGGAAUAUUGCACAAUGGGCGCAAGCCUGAUGCAGCGACGCCGCGUGGGGGAUGACGGCCUUCGGGUUGUAAACGCCUUUCGCUAGGGACGAAGCUUUUUGUGACGGUACCUAGAUAAGAAGCACCGGCUAACUACGUG
This 465-nucleotide ribosomal RNA is filed under the name uncultured bacterium. Its description in RNAcentral is "partial 16S ribosomal RNA". It matches the Rfam family "Bacterial small subunit ribosomal RNA", at positions 28 to 507 of the family's 1533-position model. The record is from RNAcentral.